RNAcentral lists this ribosomal RNA (253 nucleotides) under uncultured bacterium. Its description in RNAcentral is "partial 16S ribosomal RNA". It matches the Rfam family "Bacterial small subunit ribosomal RNA", at positions 524 to 776 of the family's 1533-position model. The record is from RNAcentral.
UACGUAGGGGGCAAGCGUUAUCCGGAUUUACUGGGUGUAAAGGGGGCGCAGACGGCGAUGCAAGCCAGGAGCGAAAGCCCGGGGCCCAACCCCGGGACUGCUCUUGGAACUGCGUGGCUGGAGUGCAGGAGGGGCAGGCGGAAUUCCUGGUGUAGCGGUGAAAUGCGUAGAUAUCAGGAGGAACACCGGUGGCGAAGGCGGCCUGCUGGACUGCAACUGACGUUGAGGCCCGAAAGCGUGGGGAGCAAACAGG